AGCAACCAGCUGGCGUCCCCCUUCUGCAAUGUCGAAGCUUUGUUCUUUUGCUCCUUGCAGUAACUCUUGCUGCUGCUCACUGUUUGGGUCUGCGCUACCUUUAUGAGCUGUAACACUCAUCUUGAAGGUCUGCAGGUUCACUCCUGAAGCCAACGAGACUAUGAACCCACCGGGAGGGAGGAACAACUCCGGAUGGAAGGAAAGAACAACUCCAGACACACUGCCUUUGAGAGCUGCAAUGCUCACCAUAAAGGUCUGCAGCUUCACUCCUGAAGCCACCGAGACCACGAAUCCACCAGAAGGAAGAAACUGUGGACACGUCCAAACAUCAGAAGUAACAAACUCCGGACACACCAUCUUUAAGAGCUGUAACACUCACCGCAAGGGUCUGCAGCUUCAUUCUUGAAGUCAGGGAGACCAAGAACCCACCAAUUCUGGACACAAUGUUUGGAGGAUGUUCACUAUCCUGAAAACAGGUAAGCAAAAACAAAUAAAACCUCCUUCCUUUCCUGAAAAAAGCUGUGUUUCAAGGUAACCAAUAGAUGAUAAGCAAAAGUUCUUCCUUUUAAAAAAUUUCUAGCUAGGAAAUGAAGAUGAAAUAAAUGAUACUGCAAUCCCUAAUGAAAUAAUGGAUCCAAGCAAUGAUCAUUAAUGGCUGCUAAAACCACUUGCUGAAAACUGAUUGGGGAACAUUAUAAUAGAUGGAUCAGGCUGACAACAUCUGAACACACUGAUCAAUCUUAAUAUUACAAGAGGGAUAAGUAGCUAUUAUGUGUAUCAUGUCAUGUAAGAGUAUAC
This 798-nucleotide long non-coding RNA is filed under the name Homo sapiens (human). Its description in RNAcentral is "HSALNT0316103". The record is from RNAcentral. Lineage: Eukaryota; Metazoa; Chordata; Mammalia; Primates; Hominidae.